GACGAACGCUGGCGGCGUGCUUAACACAUGCAAGUCGAACGGUGAAGCGCCUUCCUUUUUGGUGGGUGUGGAUGAGUGGCGAACGGGUGAGUAACACGUGAGUAACCUGCCCCCUUCUUCUGGAUAACCGCAUGAAAGUGUGGCUAAUACGGGAUAUUCUGGGUCUGUCGCAUGAUGGGUCUGGGAAAGAUAUUGUUUCGGUGGGGGAUGGGCUCGCGGCCUAUCAGCUUGUUGGUGGGGUGAUGGCCUACCAAGGCGGUGACGGGUAGCCGGCCUGAGAGGGUGGAGGGACGCGAGGGGCGGGAGGCACGGGCCAGACACCGACGGGGGCAGGGGGGGGGGUUUGUUAAAGAGUGGGAGAAGGCUGGAGGCAGCGAGGCCGGGGGAGGGAGGGGGGCGUUUGGGUGGGGGCCUUUUUUGGGAAGGGAAAGCGGCCGGUUUCUUUUGGGGGGGGGUGACGGGAAGCAGAGAAAAAGGCCCGGCUAAAUUAGUG
RNAcentral lists this ribosomal RNA (493 nucleotides) under uncultured bacterium. RNAcentral's name for it is "partial 16S ribosomal RNA". The stretch from base 20 to 337 matches the Rfam family "Bacterial small subunit ribosomal RNA", at positions 47 to 358 of the family's 1533-position model. The record is from RNAcentral.